This 48-nucleotide ribosomal RNA is filed under the name Acarospora cf. contigua CBS 132361. RNAcentral's name for it is "partial 28S ribosomal RNA". Lineage: Eukaryota; Fungi; Ascomycota; Lecanoromycetes; Acarosporales; Acarosporaceae. The record is from RNAcentral.
CCUCGGAUCAGGUAGGGAUACCCGCUGAACUUAAGCAUAUCAAUAAGC